UAUUAUUGGCCACAAAACCAGACCUGAU
This 28-nucleotide small RNA is filed under the name Bombyx mori (domestic silkworm). RNAcentral's name for it is "ovarian small RNA-24136". The record is from RNAcentral. Lineage: Eukaryota; Metazoa; Arthropoda; Insecta; Lepidoptera; Bombycidae.